RNAcentral lists this ribosomal RNA (206 nucleotides) under uncultured bacterium. Its description in RNAcentral is "partial 16S ribosomal RNA". It matches the Rfam family "Bacterial small subunit ribosomal RNA", at positions 568 to 774 of the family's 1533-position model. The record is from RNAcentral.
UGCGCAGGUGGCCAAGUGUGUUAGGCGUGAAAGCCCGGGGCUUAACCCCGGAAUUGCACCUAAAACUACUUGGCUAGAGCAUUGGAGAGGGGAGCAGAAUUCAUGGUGUAGCAGUGAAAUGCGUAGAUAUCAUGAGGAAUACCAGAGGCGAAGGCGGCUCCCUGGACAAUUGCUGACACUCAGGCACGAAAGCGUGGGAGCAAAAG